This 985-nucleotide long non-coding RNA is filed under the name Junco hyemalis (dark-eyed junco). RNAcentral describes it as "lncRNA (ENSJHYG00000001928.1)". Lineage: Eukaryota; Metazoa; Chordata; Aves; Passeriformes; Passerellidae. The record is from RNAcentral.
CACACCUCCAGGGCUGAGCGCAGGGCACAGGCAAGGGACAAACUUUCUGCUGGUGUAAAAUGGGAGAGCCCCACCAGAUUCCCUGAGACCUCAUUGAUUUACAGCAUCUGAAACUAUGGCCCCUGCUAUGCUUAAAGUCUGAGACAGGCUUUCAUUGGACACAAAAGAAUACGCUUUGGGACGCUUUGAAACCUGUGCUGUGCGCAAGCUAGGAGCUAAACGAUUCCCAAGAUUUUCUGUGAGCCAUGUACAAGCACACAUUGUGCACUGAGUGCAGGCAGGCUUCACCAGACACACAGACACAGAAUACGCUCCCUGGGAUGUGCCAGGGUGAAGAAGAGAUUUCUAAGUCACUUCAUUUUUAUUGGAAACUCUGCGCCAGUCCUCCCACAUCCAGCGCAGUGUGCACUCCUCGUAACCGGCAUUGUCUGAACCUGUGGUAUUUUAAUAAACCUUCCUGCCAAGCCAAAGACACAUCACCUUUGUCCAGAGGAGGAUCCCAGCUGCAGCGAAGUCCAGAGAGUGUGAGCUCUGCUACAAAGCAACACAUAGACAGUCCUGCCACAAAACUGUACAAGCAGGAGACUGAGUUACCAAGCUGAGAGCUCAGGUCUGCUCCUUCUCCCAGGGCAUUGCUUGCCUGGAAGCAGCUGUCUGGAAGAGCUACCCCGUUCCACAGCACUGCCAACUGCAAUAGCUGAGGCCUCAGAAAAAAAGGAGGAACUUGAGAGUCACAAGGUUAAACUACAGAGGUUGGUUUGUUCGUGUGUUUCUUCCCAGAACAUUUUUUUUUUUUUGCUUCUGAGGUAUGCUCACACUCACAGGAUGCUUUCCUCUCAAACAAUAAGGUCUAGAAACUUUUUUUUUAACAGAAUGGAAAGAUUUUCUUCUCAUCGGUCCAUUUCAGGAGUGGAGUUCUUAGAAAAAAAAAUGUUAUCCAAUUCAUAAUAAUAAAAAUUGGAAGAAUUAUGUUACUGAAACCUCA